Molecule: ribosomal RNA, 299 nt
Filed under: uncultured bacterium
Lineage: Bacteria
Description: partial 16S ribosomal RNA
Rfam family: Bacterial small subunit ribosomal RNA
Source: RNAcentral
GACCUACGGGACGCAGCAGUCGGGAAUAUUGCGCAAUGGAGGAAACUCUGACGCAGUGACGCCGCGUAUAGGAAGGAGGUUUUCGGAUUGUAAACUAUUGUCGAUAGGGAAGAAAAAAGACUGUACCUAUCAAGAAAGCUCCGGCUAACUACGUGCCAGCAGCCGCGGUAAUACGUAGGGGGCAAGCGUUAUCCGGAAUUACUGGGUGUAAAGGGAGCGUAGACGGUGAUGCAAGUCUGGAGUGAAAGGCGGGGGCCCAACCCCCGGACUGCUCUGGAAACUGUGUAACUUGAGUGCAG